Molecule: ribosomal RNA, 468 nt
Filed under: uncultured bacterium
Lineage: Bacteria
Description: partial 16S ribosomal RNA
Rfam family: Bacterial small subunit ribosomal RNA
Source: RNAcentral
GACGAACGCUGGCGGCGUGCUUAACACAUGCAAGUCGAACGGACAGGCCCUGCUUUUGUGGGGUGCUCGAGUGGCGAACGGGUGAGUAACACGUGAGUAACCUGCCCUUGACUUUGGGAUAACUUCAGGAAACUGGGGCUAAUACCGGAUAGGAGCUCCUGCUGCAUGGUGGGGGUUGGAAAGUUUCGGCGGUUGGGGAUGGACUCGCGGCUUAUCAGCUUGUUGGUGGGGUAGUGGCUUACCAAGGCUUUGACGGGUAGCCGGCCUGAGAGGGUGGCCGGCCACAUUGGGACUGAGAUACGGCCCAGACUCCUACGGGAGGCAGCAGUGGGGAAUAUUGCACAGUGGGCGGAAGCCUGAUGCAGCAACGCCGCGUGCGGGAUGACGGCCUUCGGGUUGUAAACCGCUUUCGCCUGUGACGAAGCGUGAGUGACGGUAAUGGGUAAAGAAGCACCGGCUAACUACGUG